This 429-nucleotide ribosomal RNA is filed under the name uncultured bacterium. RNAcentral describes it as "bacterial SSU rRNA". It matches the Rfam family "Bacterial small subunit ribosomal RNA", at positions 355 to 776 of the family's 1533-position model. The record is from RNAcentral.
UGGGGAAUUUUGGACAAUGGGGGCAACCCUGAUCCAGCGAUGCCGCGUGUGUGAAGAAGGCCUUCGGGUUGUAAAGCACUUUUGUUGGGGAAGAGAGGUAUCUUUCGAAUAAAGGGAUACUGAGACGUUACCCAAAGAAUAAGCACCGGCAAACUCUGUGCCAGCAGCCGCGGUAAUACAGGGGGUGCAAGCGUUAAUCGGAGUGAUUGGGCGUAAAGGGCGCGUAGGUGGUGAGGCAAGUUAGUUGUGAAAUUCCAGAGCUUAACUGUGGGGCGUCAACUAAUACUACCAUACUAGAGUACAGCAGAGGGGAGUGGAAUUUCCGGAGUAGCGGUGAAAUGCGUAGAUACCGGAAGGAACAUCAGAGGCGAAGGCGGCUCUCUGGGCUGAAACUGACACUGAGGCGCGAAAGCGUGGGGAGCAAACAGG